Long non-coding RNA from Hypanus sabinus (Atlantic stingray), 5365 nucleotides. RefSeq lists it as uncharacterized. The transcript is spliced from 3 exons. The record is from RefSeq and is a predicted model, not a curated record. Lineage: Eukaryota; Metazoa; Chordata; Chondrichthyes; Myliobatiformes; Dasyatidae.
GCGGUGAAACAUCAGACCGUCAUAUCAUCGGCACCGAGUGUAAAAUGGGGAAUAAUCUGAGAUGUUCACCUCCAAAUCUUACAAGAGGGGUACCUAAUAAAUUGUUUAUAUUACUGGAAAAUAAAGCAUGCCUUAGGAACAUCGAUAGUAUACAAAUGAUGCUGCAUUUCCAUGACAUAAGAGAUGAGUUGGAGUUUGUUCAGUUGGAGCAUGACUGGCAAGAUCCCCAGGUUCUCAUGCAUAUGACCCAUUUGGUGAAUACUGAUGAAGGUUUCCGUCUAUGUGAUGGAGAUGGAAGAAUCCUGAUAGAUCGCGUAAUAUCAGCUGCUCAACUGAAAUAUAAUUCAAUCCCCAUGGUAGUCUACAGGCAGGUUCCAUCGGUCGAUACCACGCAGCAAAAUAAUUCACUAUCAGUAUGGCAGGAGAUUCAAGAGAACAGAAACAAGAACGAUAUAAUGCAUGGUUAAUAAUAACAAUAAUGAAAAUAUUAAAGAUAAUCAUUCUACUAAUAACCACAUAACCAUACUAUAUAACAAUCACAGCACAGAAACAGGCCAUCUUGGCCCUUCUAGUCCAUGCCAAAUGCUUACUCUCACCUAGUCCCACCGACCUGCACUCAGCCCAUAACCCUCCAUUCCUUUCCUGUCCAUAUACCUAUCCAAUUUUACUUUAAAUGACAAUAUUGAAUCUGCCUCUACCACUUCUACUGAAAGCUCAUUCCACACAGCUACCACUCUCUGAGUAAAGAAGUUCCCCCUCGUGUUACCCCUAACUUUUGACCCCUACUCUUAAUGGAAAAAGCCUAUCCACAUCAACUAUAUCUAUCCCCCUCAUAAUUUUAAAUACCUCUACCAAGUCCCCCCUCAACCUUCUAUGCUCUAAAGAAUAAAGACCUAACUUGUUCAACCUUUCUCUGUAACUUAGGUGUUGAAACCCAGGUAACAUUCUAGUAAAUCUUCUUUGUACUCUCUCUAUUUUGUUGACCUCUUUCCUAUAAUUCGGUGACCAGAACUGUACACAAUACUCCAGAUUUGGCCUUACCAAUGCCUUGUACAAUUUGAACAUUACAUCCCAACUCCUAUAUUCAAUGCUCUGAUUUAUAAAGGCCAGCAUACCAAAAGCUUUCUUCACCACCCUAUCCACAUGAGAUUCCACCUUCAGGGAACUAUGCACCAUUAUUCCUAGAUCACUCUGUUCUACUGUAUUCCUCAAUGUCCUACCAUUUACCAUGUAUGUCCUAUUUUGACUAGUCCCACCAAAAUGUAGCACCUCACACUUAUCAGCUUUAAACUCCAUCUGCCAUCUUUCAGCCCACUCUUCUAAUUGGCCUAAAUCUCUCUGCAAGCUUUGAAAACCUACUUCAUUAUCCACAACACCACCUAUCUUAGUAUCAUCUGGAUACUUACUAAUCCAAUUUUUACCACCCCAUCAUCCUGAUCUUUAAUGUAUAUGACAAACAACAUUGGACCCACUACAGAUCCCUGAAGCGCACCACUAGUCACCGGCCUCCAACCUGACCAACAGUUAUCCACCACUAUCCUCUGGCAUCUCACAUCCAGCCACUGUUGAAUCCAUUUUACUACUUCAAUAUUAAUACCUAAUGACUGAACCUUCCAUGUGGAAUCUUGUCAAAGGCCUUACUGAAGUCCAUUUACACAACAUUCACUGCUUUACCCUCAUGUGGUGGUGAAAACACUGCAUUUGCAGAAUGUUCCUUGCUUGCUGCUAGGAGCCCCUGUUUGGAACAUUCGGUUUAGUAUGUGUGUCAAAGGUGAUUAAUGCUUUACUUCUGCAGAGCAACAUUCUUAUGAGAACUGUAACUUCUGCCUUAAUGGCUAAGAGUAGCCCAUUCCAGCUAAAACCGUAGGCUAAGACGUGACAUACAGUGUUAUUACUUUCUUGUACGUUAAACUGUUUCAUCUAUCUGUAUAAAGGUCAACUCGCAUACGCGUCUAGUCAGAGUCAGUCUCUCCACCAUGAGGGUUUGCUCUCCGUGACAUCAUGACAAUAAAGGUUCUUGCUGUGAACUAAGCCCAGAGAGUCACUGUCUUUUAUUUGAAGCAAAGUGUUAGAACUCUGCUACAACAGUUUUGGCGUAGUCGGCAGGAUCCCAUAAACGGGAUUCGGACAAAGCAAGCAGAGUAGAGUCUACGGGGGAGGUAGAAAAUACCCCCUGUCCUGGGUUCCAGCCCCAGGGGAGUCUGGGUGAGUAUGGCCGGGGGGGGGGCCGCACAAGAAGACACAGUAUUAAUUAGAAUUGACUUGGGCUCUGGUCAAGGCAGAACCUUAGGUAAGCACUCUGUUUGUCUGUCUGCCCCUGUCGGUCUAAAGUGUAUAGUUUUUUGUAUAAGAUUAAUUUGCAGUUACCAUGGGACAGAAGAACACCUCUGGUAGAGUGUCAGAGAAAAACGCUCCCAGUGAAUGGAAUAAGAGGGGACGUGGACCGAGACACCUGAUAAAGGUAGGAGGUAGAGAUCCAGGAAGAAGAGGGGGCUUGCCUAAUGAGCCCUAUCCAAAACCUGGAUCACCAGUGGACAUAGUUUAUCGUGAGACUCAAGUAGGCAGUUACGUGACCCCUUUUUAUCCCAAUCUAUACGGGUGGUACCUGAAUCAAUGUUUGGAUGAGGGAGAGUGGCCUACUCUCAAGCCACAUGUUAUUCAAGCAUAUUGGAAUGAUGUUAAAGUGGGAAAUGGUGACCCCGACCCCAUAUGGUUACCAUAUGUCCUGAGCUGUUUUCCUGUAUGGAAAAGAGUUGCAGAAAAAUAUUACCUGGACAUUGUGGAGAAAAAAUUGGGACCCCCGAUGUUAUCCAUGCCUUCCAAAGGACAUUCGGCCACCUCCGCCCCAGAUCUGACUAUGGGUGUAUUUCCUCGACUGGAGAAAUCGAGGACAUCCUACGGGGACCCCUGGCAAGAAUCUAUUGACUAUGCAUUAGCCCUUUGACAAAAUCCACCUCCAUAUGUCGAUGAUGUGACACAACAAGAAGGAGAAGUGAAAGUGGCUCAGGCAGACAGUUCAGAGGGAGCUGGGGGAUCGGGAAUGGUUCUCCGUUCUGGUCACAAAUUGUCCCUGGUAGAGCGAGUCCCCGGGUCCAAACUGCAGAGCAAUCAAUCCGAGGUUAGUUCCUCUACUGCCCGUCAAUUUCCCCGUAUAAUGGUUAGAACUGCCUCGAUUCUACGUCCGUGGACCCCAGGCGCUCUGCAAAGCCACUGGGAAGCUGCAUGACGAAGUAAGGGAGGGACAGAGCCCUCUCACAGAUGAGCCUAUGCACACCUUUCAAAUAGGGGACUUAGCAUUGUUAAAAGCAUUAAAAAGGAACUCUCUUUCCCCCAGGUGGAAAGGACCUUACCAAGUGCUGCUCGUUAACUGCACCGCCAUUAAACUACAAGGAAAAGGGGACUGGGUUCACGCCACCCACUGCAAGACUUACUCACCUCCCGACCAAUUGACAGGCACAGGAGACCAGCAUGUGGAACCUCCGCCAAAGACAAGCAAUGCAGCCCCGGAGUAUUUCGCUCAACUUUUAAAGGAUGCGUUCCCUUCUGUAGUCCCAGAUAGUCCUCCGUUACUUGAUCGUGCUCACAGAAUUAUGCACCGAUCACCAAGUUCUUCAUCUAAACCACCUGUUGUAAUUGUUCGAUUUCAUUAUGUGCAUGUUAAAAAGCACCUUAUUCAUUUGGCUCGGCGUUUAGGGGUGGUUAAAUUGAGAGAAUUCCAAUUUCGGCUUGUGGAGGAUUUCAGCCCAGAAGUGAUGAAGGCAUGGCUCGCUUUUAAACCUUUGAUGUCCGAAUAUUAUGAGAAAAACCUAAAACCAGCGCUUUUAUACCCUGUGAAACUUAGAAUCUCGCCUUCGAAUGCAUCACGACGCGUUUUUCUCUCCACAUCUGAUGCUCGAAGCUUUCUAGAUGAGAACUAUCCUACUGCUUCGGAUUCUCGUCUCUAAUAAAUGUAUGGUUUUGAUCGUUACAAGAUAGUUUUUGUUUCCAAAACCAGAUUUUGUUUCUGACUAUUGGUGUAGGUUUAUUUUACAUUUUAUAUUCCAAUUAAAGUUUUUCUUUAUCGACGUACUAAUCUUUUUAAUUUACUUACUUUAACUAUUGUAUUUUAUUUUUGGUCAUUACUAUUAAUCCUUUGAAGGUGAAUUUUUUUUAAUGUUUCGAUAUAUAUCUUUCAUUUUUUGUGUAACUAAGAUGGCGGUCUCUUUUCUAAAUUUUCUUUUUUAAAUUUCGCCUUUUUUGUCGUCUUCUUCCUAUAAUGCCUUUCUUAUCACAUCCUAAUUUUAUUUGUUCGGGUUUUAACCCGAUUUAUAAACUACCAGUGUUUAUAUUCUUUUUGGGUUUUUUUACUAGCAAUUAUAUUAAGAAGUCUGUUUUAGUAUAGUGUUAAUUACUUUUUAGGAUUUUGGGUGGAUCUUUUUUUUUCUCCUUUAUGUAUCUGGAGUCGCCUUCUGGAGACAUGGGGGUAGAUUUAGUCUCACAGUUUUUUUUCCUGGCCUCCUUCAGGCUCAGGAGGGUCUCUUUUCCGUGGGUGGUGGGCGGGGGUUUCCUUUCUAAUUCUAUUGCUCUUUUUAUUAGUUUUUCUAGUUUUUUAAAUUGGGCUGAUUUCAAACUACUAAAAUGUCCGCUGUAUCGUCAUUUCUAGGUCCUCCCCUUAUUUUUGUUCCUCUUCCGGGUGCAUGAGUUCAUACUUUGGUUAACUCUUUAUAUACCAGAGGGUUGAUUUUAGAAAUAUGGCUCAGACCAUUAAUUUUGUCUCUUGGAAUACUAAUAGCUUAAACCAUCCGAUUAAACGGAAAAAGAUUUUAAGUAUUCCAAAGACUGAAUGCGCAUAUUAUUUUUGUACAAGAAACUCAUGUGAGGAAAGAGGAUAAUCAACGUUUUUUUAGGUUUUGGAGAGAUCAACAGUACCAUUUGAAUUCAAAUGCUAAAGUAAAAGGAGUUUCAAUUUUUAUUGACUCCUCUAUUACAUUUGUUCAACACGAUAUUAUUUCAGAUCCGAGUGGUAGAUUUUUGUUAAUUACUGGGUUACUUUUUAAUAAGAAGGUUGCUAUGGUUAAUGUUUAUACUCCAAAUGUAGAUUAUCCUGAUUUCUUUAAGUCUUUAUUUACUUCUCUACCUAAUCUAAGUGAAUAUAUUGUGGCGACCCAUUUCCUGGCACAUUCAAACUGGCUCACAAUUAGCCAGCGUUCCGGCUAAGGGAGAUAGCCUACGGGGGUUUGUGAGUACGUGUCUUUUGGAGCAUCUGCGCCCACGGGGGGCAGGUUGAGGGAGGCUUAAAAGCAAGGCUGUGUAGUUCGAAUAAAGUUAUCUUUGACUGCAGUUUACCGACUCCGUGUCGUUAUUUUAGCGCUGCGUGUAGCACACC